AGGGAAAGGAAAAGGCACUGAAGAUACAUGGAAAUCAAACAAGUAUGAGAUGCAUGAGCAUGUGCCAUGGAAGGAAGUUCAGAGGAGGGAGGCAAAGGAGUAACAAAAUUGCCAGACCAAUAUUGAGUUUGGAAAUUAAAUCUAGCUCACUACAAACCCAAAUGUGCAUUUGUUUUCUAUGUGUUUUGAUUCACUCUUGAAUUGUUUUCAUUUAUAAAAGUCAUGGGCCUCUACCACAGUUGGAGAGAAUGCAUCCCAGAGGACAGCAAUGGAGCUGUUGAAUUCAAGUGACCAUAACAGCAGAGGUAAUAGAGUAGAAGAAAUAGAAAAUAACACAAAAAGGACUAAGGAGGUGCCGCAGUCUGGCUGGGCACAAAAUCACGAGCCACUCAAGCAGGAACAAAGUUUAUUUUUUGAAACUGCCGCCAAUGUCCAGUACCGCCCGGGCAGAUUUUUUCCACCCACGCGGCCUCCUCUUGGACCUGCAGAGAGAGCUCCUCCCCCGGAACUCCCUCCUACUGUACUUCCCCAACCAAUGGGAACUCUCCAGGAGUCCCAUAGCCGGCCUAGGUGAACAGCAGGAGUCCAAUAUCCAUAUGAAUGCAAAUCUUAACAUAAUCAUAUCAUCUCAAUGGCUAGCUGGCGUCACCUUUCGACCAAAAAUGCCAUGCAUCAUAUACUUGGCUCUUAGCAAGGAGGCUGCAGGAGUGGAUGGCAUUGGGAGGACCACACGAGCCCACUUGGGAAGAGGCUCAUUCCUUAGGGGAACCUUGAGAUGACUAGAGCCCCAGCUUGAAUCUCAACUGUAGCCUGUGAGAGACAGAAGCAAAGGAUCUGCUAAAUCACACCUGGAUUCAAGUGAUCUUCAGAAACUAUAUAAGCUAGCCUGGAACCAUUUAGAGAAAGAUUAUCCUCUCCCUGUAAUUGCAGUGACUUGGCUGUCCAUUGCUCAGCAAGGAGCCUCCAGGAAGCACAUGAGGACAGGAAGUAGCAGGCAAGAGGAAGUGACCCUAGAGCAAUAGCUGUGCAAGGACUGAGGUUUGUUCCCUCAGUUCCAGAAACAACACAAGCACACAUUUCAGACAUGAUGGUAAAGUGCUAUCUUGCUUUAGAUAUGAGGUGUUCCCCAAAAGCUCGUGUUUAAGACGAUGAAAGACAGUUUAGAGGUGAAAUGAUUGGGUUAUGAAAGCUUUAACCUAAUCAGUGAAUUGAUGCACUGAUAUGGAAUGGCUAGAAGAGGUGGGUCACUGUGGGAGAACUUUGGGGUUUAUAUUUUGUUCUGGUAAGCAGAACUCUCUCCCUCUGCUUCCUGGUGCCUGGCCUGCUCUGCUUUCUUAUGCCAUGCCUUUCCACUCUGGUGAUCAGCCUCAUCAUUGGCCCAGAGCAAUGGAUACAAUGGAUUUGGUUGUCUGUGCUCUGAAGCUUUGAAACCGAGAAACAAUUAAACUUUUCUUCCUCUACAUUUUUUUCUUGUCAGGUUAUUUGGUGACAGCAACAAAAAGAAAGUUGACAAACAAAGAUGAACUCUUGUGUCCCUUGUAGAGGUCUUUAUUGCAGGCUUAAGUGAACACAUCAGGAGGAGCAGCACAUUGUGGUAAUGUCUGGCAUAAGUUUUCUCCCCACAGCCGUCUCUGGACCAAAUGGAGAUGCUGAGCCACCUGAGGUACAGCUCUCCUGCACCACACACCAUGAGGCUAUCUGCACUUCUUCCUGAUACCUUUGUCCAUCCAUUAUUGUGAAAUUAAUAUUUUUUGUUAAUUUCUUGUCUUUGCUUUCCACAUUUACCUUCUCUGAAAAAGUACUCAUAUGUCACUAACAAUGCUCUUUGCAUAUCAAUAAAAAUAUUUACAUGUGCA
This is a long non-coding RNA of Marmota monax (woodchuck), 1856 nucleotides long. RefSeq lists it as uncharacterized. The record is from RefSeq and is a predicted model, not a curated record. Lineage: Eukaryota; Metazoa; Chordata; Mammalia; Rodentia; Sciuridae. The transcript is spliced from 4 exons.